CCAGCACCACUGAGAGCCACAGCAGGUGAGAAUACUAAGCAUGGUAUCAGGUUCAACUUUAGAGGCGCUUCCCUUGAAGGUACUGUGCAGACAGACAGCAAUCCCCCUCCCCAUUCGCCAGACACCCUUCACCUGAAAUCAAGACAUGUGCUUCAUUGCACUUAUUAUAAUUUAUACUUGUUUUAUGUAUGUGUCUUUUUUUGUUAAUAUCAUGUUUUUCAUACUAAAUGAGGGUUCUAUGGUAAGAAGAAACAUGCCAAUUGCUUUUACCAAAGUCCAGAUACAUUCUGGCCCAGAGAAGAAUCUCAGCAAUAUUUGCUGCAAAGCACGUUGAAAACAAAGCCCCAGAGGAGGACACAGGCUUUGGAGGCCACCAGAAUGUGACUCUAAUCCCACUCUUUUACUGAUAAGCUGAAUGACUUCCUUUUCCUCAUCAGUAAAAUGGAGAUAUUUUAUAACUUAUAGGGUUACAGUAGACAUUCAAUGAAAGGUAUCUCUUACUAAUUUUAUUUCUCCCAGUUUUCUCAGCAAUGGCACUAAUUAGAAUCUGACUCAUUUUUUUUACAGUGAACUUGGGUAAAAAUGUUGAAAUGUGAUAAAUUAAAUUAAAAUGAUUGCAAUAUAAAAAUAUAAUUUGUUAAUUUGUGUGGCUUCACAUACAAUAGAAAUAUCAUGUCACAGAAAGUGGUAUGGUCUUAGGUAAAUCCAAAUAAAAUGACUCCUAGUCUCAGUCCAUCUAGAGCAAUUAGAGAAAGAAAUUGGCCAAGGAAUUGUUUUGAUGCUCCGAUUAGAUAUGGUUAUUUGAUUGCCUUCCAAAUUGAGAAGCAUUAAUCAGAAGCAACAUGACAUUGUUUUUAAAUAUAAUAAGGGUGCAGUGGUUUCCAGGCACGUGACCUCCCUUUCAAAUGUAUAUAUUAACAUCCUCAUGCCCACGUGAUGAUAUUAGGACAUGGCGUCUUUGGGAGAUGAUAAGGACACUGCUCUCAUGAAUAGAAACAUAAAAGAAGCCAGAGAGAGACCCUUCGUCGCUUCCAUCAUGUGAGGUUACAGAGAGAACACAGCUAUCCGUGAGGAGCCAUGCCUUCACCAGAUGUGGCACCUGCUGGUGCCAUAACCUUGGAUGUUUCUUAGCCUCUUGAACUGUGAGAAAUAAAUGUUUGUUGUCUAUAAGUCACUCAGUUUAUGGUCAAACAAAGUAGGACAAAAGGCAAAAAAUGAGUGUAAUUUCUCAAAACCCACAUCCCCUGGGAGAAGCAAUACACCUCAAACCAUUCUUUAUUUUUUUCAGUGAAUUCAAAUAAUCAUCAGAAAAGCUAAAAAUAAGAUCCAUGUUUCUUUCAAUAUCUAACUUCAACAGCGUCAGGUACAUCUUAACUGCAAGAUUCUGUGUUUCGUGGGAGAAAUCUCUACACUUUGGAAAAUGACUUUAUUGGAUUUAUUGCCUGAAUAGCUCAUCUAGACAGUGCAUGAUAAAAGCCCAAUGCUGGAAUGGAUAAGAUUAUGGUUCAAAUUAAUGGACCAAGAAGGAAGUAGGAAGGUUGCUUAUUAAGGGCUUUCCUGUGAAGGAUCUAGAGAUCUAAACUGAAUGCAGUGACACUAAUAAGCGACUAAUGUCAGCCUACAAUUCUUCAGCUUUGUUAAUGAUUUUCCUCUUAAAAACCAUAGUCCCUCCACACCUUGAACCCAAACAUCUUCCCAUAGAAAAAUCAUUUUUAACAUGCAGAUUUCAUAGUAGAGUUAGAUUUAGGACAAAGAAAAAGAAUGGAGAACAAAAAUAAUCACCAUCAUUUUUAUGUACACCCCAUGGGCUUCAUAGAAAUGAGGAUUUUGUUUCAGUAAGUUCAUCAAAACUCAAAAAUAAAAAGGAUUCUUGUGAUUGUAACCACAUAGAAGAACCUGGAAGAUAUGAUGCUAAGUGAAAUAAGCCUGGCUUAGAAGACAGAUGCUACCCAAUCUCACAUAUAUGUGGAAUCUAAAAAUAUCAAACUCAUAGAAGCAGAAAAUAGAAUGGUGAUUGCCAGUACCUGAGAUAUGGGGAAAAUGGAGAUGUUUGUUAUAAAGUACAAACUGUCAGUUAUAAGUAAACUAAGUUCUAGGGGUCUAAUGAAUAGCAUAGUAACUAUAGAUAAUAAUACUGUAUUGUUUACCUGAAACACACACACACACACACACACAGUAAUUUGUGUUAAUUUAACACAGUGUUAAUUUGAUUUUGGUAAUCAUUUAACAAUGUAUACAUAUAUUAAAUAUGUUAAUAUUUUAUACAUAUAUUAGAUAAUCAUGUUGUACAUCUUGAAUAGAUGCAUUUUUAAAUUUGUCACUUAUACCUCAAUAAAACUGGAAAAAAAGACCUAAAAACAGA
Molecule: long non-coding RNA, 2362 nt
Filed under: Homo sapiens (human)
Lineage: Eukaryota; Metazoa; Chordata; Mammalia; Primates; Hominidae
Description: HSALNT0144688
Source: RNAcentral